Molecule: non-coding RNA, 67 nt
Organism: Python bivittatus (Burmese python)
Lineage: Eukaryota; Metazoa; Chordata; Lepidosauria; Squamata; Pythonidae
Source: the annotation of a RefSeq genome assembly
CAAAAAGUAGCUUACAACCAAAGCAUUCGGCUUACAACCGAACGACAUUAUAAAAUAAUCUUUUUGA